Molecule: non-coding RNA, 69 nt
Organism: Phrynosoma platyrhinos (Desert horned lizard)
Lineage: Eukaryota; Metazoa; Chordata; Lepidosauria; Squamata; Phrynosomatidae
Source: the annotation of a GenBank genome assembly
AGCAUAGUGUAGUGGUUUGAGCACUGGACUGUGACUCUGGAGACCAGGGUUCGAAUGCCAGCUGGGCUG